UGGGGAAUAUUGCACAAUGGAGGGAACUCUGAUGCAGCGACGCCGCGUGAACGAAGAAGGCUUUCGAGUCGUAAAGUUCUUUUAUAUGGGAAGAUAAUGACGGUACCAUAAGAAGCAGCCCCGGCUAACUACGUGCCAGCAGCCGCGGUAAUACGUAGGGGGCUAGCGUUGUCCGGAAUCACUGGGCGUAAAGGGUUCGCAGGCGGAAAUGCAAGUCAGGUGUAAAAGGCAGUAGCUUAACUACUGUAAGCAUUUGAAACUGCAUAUCUUGAGAAGAGUAGAGGUAAGUGGAAUUUUUAGUGUAGCGGUGAAAUGCGUAGAUAUUAAAAAGAAUACCGGUGGCGAAGGCGACUUACUGGGCUCAUUCUGACGCUGAGGAACGAAAGCGUGGGUAGCAAACAGG
RNAcentral lists this ribosomal RNA (403 nucleotides) under bacterium. RNAcentral's name for it is "partial 16S ribosomal RNA". It matches the Rfam family "Bacterial small subunit ribosomal RNA", at positions 355 to 776 of the family's 1533-position model. The record is from RNAcentral.